Long non-coding RNA from Gavialis gangeticus (Gharial), 1064 nucleotides. RefSeq lists it as uncharacterized. NCBI's taxonomy places the organism in Eukaryota, Metazoa, Chordata, Crocodylia, Gavialidae. The transcript is spliced from 2 exons. The record is from RefSeq and is a predicted model, not a curated record.
UGUGCAUGUGUGAGAGCUUCAUGGGUAUGUUGUGUGCAUGUGUGUGUUCACUUGGAUGGGUGGAUGUACAUGCAUAUGUGUGUUAGCUUCAUGGGGAGGUGCUUCAUGGGGCAUGUACUUGCAUGUGUGUGUUAGCUUCAUGGGUGUCAGGGUGUGUGUGUGAGAGCUUCAUGGAGAGGUGUGUGAGUGUGUCAGCUUCACUGGUGUGCACAUGCACAUGUGCGAAAGCUUCAUGGGAGUGUUGUAUGUAUGUGUGCAUUAGCUUCGUGGAGGGGUGGGUGUACAUGCAUAUGUGUGUUGGCUUCAUGGGGGGUGAUAGCCUCAUGGGGUGUGUACUUGCGUGUGUGUGUGUGUGUGUUAGCUUCAUGGGUGUACGUGUGUGUGACACUGCUUCAUGGAGGAAUGUGUGAGUGGGUAUCAGCUUCACUAGUGUUUGCCUGUGCAUGAGUAAGAGGUGCAUGUGUGUGUUCACUUGGAUGGGUGGGUGUACAUGCAUGUGUGUGUUAGCUUCAUGGGACAGGUGAUAGCUUCAUGGGGUGUGUACUUCUGUGUGUGUGUGUGUGUGUGAACUUCAUGGGGGCGGGUGUGCUCACGCACACUCUACACAUAUCAUCUUUAGUGCUAGGAAACCCUAGAGCGGUCGGGCUGAAGGAGUCUCCAGCGGUCGUCAGUCCAGCCUCGAGCCGUAGGAGGGCAGCAGGUUUGGUGCGGGGUGGAGACGAGGACCAGUGCAUCCCAAGCCAUCACGGACCUGUCUAGAGACAAGCUGGGGUGCACGGGGCUGCACGUGCUCCUCUCCUCCGCGCUUUGGCCAGCCCUGGGCUGGGUCCGUGUGGUGCUGCCAGGCCGAGCCGAGUUUCCCAGGCCUCAGCUGUGCAUCCCCCAGGUGCAGGGUGUCGGGAAAGGAGAGCUGGAGGCAGUUCCCUUUAGGUUCUUGCAAGAGAGAGCAGGACAGAAAGUCUUGGCUGCUUCUCUCUGUCUCUUUUUUUUCUUUCUCCUUAGCUCCGGCCCCGUUUAUCUUUGCCGAAUUAAAUCCUUGAUUAACCCUUAUCUCCCCAGUUCGG